UCACAAGAAGGAUCACCUCCCUACAAGUAAGGGCAUCUAAGAUCAAAGGAUUAAUUAUUCCUUCAAUACGCUUGCAUUACAACCACAUGGCAAACCCGAAGAAUCUCUUGCUAUAGCAGCAGUGGAACCAAAAUUAUGGGAAGUGUCUAAAGCACCAUCAAAAUUGACCUUAAAGGUUCCUUGAGGCUGUAGAGACCAAUCAUUCUGGAGUUGAUGGGGGGCCAUUUGU
This 229-nucleotide unclassified non-coding RNA is filed under the name Hevea brasiliensis (rubber tree). Lineage: Eukaryota; Viridiplantae; Streptophyta; Magnoliopsida; Malpighiales; Euphorbiaceae. The record is from RNAcentral.